GAUGAACGCUGGCGGCGUGCCUAAUACAUGCAAGUCGAGCGAACAGACGAGGAGCUUGCUCCUCUGACGUUAGCGGCGGACGGGUGAGUAACACGUGGAUAACCUACCUAUAAGACUGGGAUAACUUCGGGAAACCGGAGCUAAUAGCGGAUAAUAUAUUGAACCGCAUGGUUCAAUAGUGAAAGACGGUUUUGCUGUCACUUAUAGAUGGAUCCGCGCCGCAUUAGCUAGUUGGUAAGGUAACGGCUUACCAAGGCAACGAUGCGUAGCCGACCUGAGAGGGUGAUCGGCCACACUGGAACUGAGACACGGUCCAGACUCCUACGGGAGGCAGCAGUAGGGAAUCUUCCGCAAUGGGCGAAAGCUUGACGGAGCAACGCCGCGUGAGUGAUGAAGGUCUUCGGAUCGUAAAACUCUGUUAUUAGGGAAGAACAAAUGUGUAAGUAACUAUGCACGUCUUGACGGUACCUAAUCAGAAAGCCACGGCUAACUACGUG
RNAcentral lists this ribosomal RNA (497 nucleotides) under uncultured bacterium. RNAcentral describes it as "partial 16S ribosomal RNA". It matches the Rfam family "Bacterial small subunit ribosomal RNA", at positions 28 to 507 of the family's 1533-position model. The record is from RNAcentral.